RNAcentral lists this ribosomal RNA (253 nucleotides) under uncultured prokaryote. RNAcentral describes it as "partial 16S ribosomal RNA". It matches the Rfam family "Bacterial small subunit ribosomal RNA", at positions 525 to 777 of the family's 1533-position model. The record is from RNAcentral.
ACGGAGGGUGCGAGCGUUGUCCGGAAUCAUUGGGCGUAAAGGGCGCGUAGGUGGCUUCUUAAGCGUGCGGUGAAAGCCUGGGGCUCAACCCCGGGUCGGCCGUGCGAACUGGGGGGCUGGAGCACUGUAGAGGCAGGCGGAAUUCCGGGUGUAGCGGUGGAAUGCGUAGAUAUCAGGAGGAACACCCGAGGCGAAGGCGGCUCUCUGGGUCGUACCUGACGCUGAGGCGCGAAAGCGUGGGGAGCGAACGGGA